UCUCUGGUAGUUUAAGAAGAAUGCGAGAUUGCAAAUCUUGGGGUGAAUGUUUUCCUGGGGAU
RNAcentral lists this transfer RNA (62 nucleotides) under Bankia sp. TBF03. RNAcentral's name for it is "tRNA-Cys". The record is from RNAcentral. RNAcentral also lists the same sequence under 1 other name. Lineage: Eukaryota; Metazoa; Mollusca; Bivalvia; Myida; Teredinidae.